CACACACAAAUACAGGAGGCUGCCGGCGAAACUCUCCCGCAGCCACAAGAGUCCCGGGGCCCGCGCGCAGACUGCGAUCCAGCUCCGGCUCUUGCCCUGCGGAGGCUCCGCGCGAGAACCUGGCUCCACCCGGGACCGGCCAGGUCCUAGCCCCGAAGGGACUGGACAGCCGAGGGACGCGGACUGACCUCCCUGCGGCGAUGCAGCCCACAGCCGCCGGGGAGGAAGCUCCGCGGGGUCCAUGGGUGCCGGGGUCACGGCCCGGGGCGCGCGGAGCCACCCAGACCCCGCGACCCGCUCUUCGGAUAGCAGGGACCGGGUCGGGAAGACCUUCGCGGACCCUGCAGAGGCGGGAGACCCUGCGCCGUGCCCGGUGCCCCGGCGGCCAGCGGGUCCGGGUCCCCGCCUGCUACGCCCAAGUCCGUCCGGCUCCACGGGCGCCCCCGGCCCGCCGCGCCCUGCAGCCCCUCGCCCGCCCUCCCGGGGCUCACUCACGUAGACUGCGUCGAUGUCGGAUCUGUCGUAGAAGCGGAGCGCCCCACUCAGCUCCAGGGCAGGAGAGACGAAGUCAUCCCCGUCCUCCAGCUCCAGGUCCCCCUGUCCGGGGCCGAAGGGAAAGAGCUCCUGGCGGCUCAGGCAGCCCACAGGCCCCGCCAGCAGCAGCGGCAGCAGCAGCGCCCGCGUCCACGCAGCCCGGAUCCGGCUGCUCGAGGCCAACAUGUUCCCGAACUGCGGUCCCGCAAACCCGGUCCCGCGGCCAGGACAGAGGAAGGCGGGGAUGUAACCGGACGCCCCUGGCAGCCCCCUCUCCUCCCGCCUCCCGGCGUUCCCACCCCGGGAAAUAGGGGAGGGGAGCGGAGGGGAGAGCGGAGGGCCCCGCCCCGUCCAGCGGGCGCGCCGCGGGGCAGCCCAAUGGCCGCGAGGGGGAGGGCGAGGGGCGAAGCCGAACCUCCCGCCUUGGGCGCCGGUGCCUGCGAUUCUCGAAACCAGCCCGACUCCCAGCGAACGGCGCCUCCGGGAGGGGGAGCAGAGCGCGGGACCCGCACCGUGGUCCUCUGAUUAGGGUUGGGUCGUGGAGAGCCGGCGACGUGGAAACGCUCCGGAUUCAGGAACGGCGCCCACCCCAUUGCCGCUCGGCCGCGUCCGGGGUCCAAUUCGCUUGACCCUGGUAGGAAGACGGGGUGGGAGCUGGGAAUCAGCCAAGGGACAGAGCCACCAACACGUUCAUGGGCUCAUCCACCCAUUCAUUGCGCGUUUUUUGAGUGCCUGAUCCUGUGCUCCCUAUUGUGGAGGUUCGCCAGGAAACGGGGUCUCACCCUCCGAGGCAAAGUCACCAGUGUACAACACAAGCCAGUGUCAGAUGGGGGCCCCAAGUCAUCAAAGACAUUAGGGCUGGAAAAACUGGCGGGGAAAGCUGCAGGUGGGACGGCGGGAAUCAACCCGGGUGCUCUGGAAGGAAUGGGAUGUCAUCAGGCGGCAGAGAAGGGAGGUGGAGGACCGAGCUGGGUUUAUUCAGGGCACCAUCCCCCAGCAGAGGAUGUGGGGAGGGACCGGUUGAAGUACAGCCUUGAAUCACAAAUUUAGGAAUUUGAAUUCGCUCUGUCACUCGGAGAAGAAACUAUUGAAAGUUCUUGACAAAGGGAGAUAAGCGAUUUAAGUGGUAUCCUGAAUAAUCGGUUGAUCGUUACUUUGGCACUAGGGUGAAAGUAGAGACAGGUAAGUUAUUAGAGGACCAAGUCUAAAACAUUGAAAUGAAAGAAGGAGCAAAUCCUGAUUAUAAGAUUGGCAUUGAAGAGGAGAAGAAACGAAGUUAAAAUUGAGUUCAAGGGUUUGCACUUGGAGGACUGGAAAACCAGUACUGCCUUUUGACGUCAGGGAAGAGGAUCUGGGACAGCUGGAGUUGGAUAUGUUUGAUGUCAGACCUAUCAGCGGUCAACAGGACGUCCCCGUUUCCUGUCAGCAGCUAAAAGUAACGACCUUGAACCUAGUUUAUAAUAAUUUUUCAGAAAACAGCAAAUUCUGUAUAAAAUUUAGGGGGCAUGAGUUCUGAACCAGCAAAGACAGGAAGAAAAAGCAAAGGAAACAUGCCUUCUAAGCAAAACACUUUUGAUUUACUCAUG
RNAcentral lists this long non-coding RNA (2120 nucleotides) under Homo sapiens (human). Its description in RNAcentral is "long non-coding RNA NONHSAT010394.2". Lineage: Eukaryota; Metazoa; Chordata; Mammalia; Primates; Hominidae. The record is from RNAcentral.